AAGAGAGAAUCGACCCACGGAAAUGGUUGCUGUGUGAAGCCUGGGUACCUGAAAUGAGAGUCGCUCGGCCUGGAAGUCCCCUGUGGGGGUAAACAUCUCAGAGAGGAGAAGGAAGUAUGAUCAGCCAUCUCAGCUGUGUAACCACGUGGCUUCAGAGAAGGGAGCUUCGAGCCAACAGUCUUUUGCAGCCUGGAAAACGUUUUCUGAUUAGAAGCCCCUGCUGUUUUAUCUAUUACACGUGAAACUGAAUAAGUCUCCACACGUCCACUGGGAGUUGAUGACUGGGAUUUUGAUGAGUGGCAAAGGAGAGCUUUUCAGACAGCAGGAACCCCAAGUGCAGAGGCCAAGAGGCAUCAACAGUGUGGGGCAUCCAGGAGGUGUGUCCUGGGUGAAGCCAAGACCGUCCAUUUUCUUUGUAAAUCAUGUGGGUAGGAUCUGUGGAAGUUGCCAUUCACACCUGCAUCCAUCUUUGUCCGGAAGAAGAUGCAUUCCUCCUUCGGAAGUGGACCCUACAAGACAAACUUGGAGCCCGACCCAGUGACCCACAUGUGAAAGGGCCACAGCUCCGCUAGCAGGAGGGAGAAGUGAGAGACUGUUGGCAGAAGCUAAAUCUUAUGCUAAAAAUUUACCGGCCCACAAAUUUUUGUUAACCAGCCUGCUACGAAUACGAUACAGAUGGCCAAAUAAAUAAAACCCAUCGGUAGUUAUGACAAGCCUCCCUGAAAUGGUAAGUGGC
Long non-coding RNA from Camelus dromedarius (Arabian camel), 736 nucleotides. RefSeq lists it as uncharacterized. The record is from RefSeq and is a predicted model, not a curated record. The transcript has 6 exons. NCBI's taxonomy places the organism in Eukaryota, Metazoa, Chordata, Mammalia, Artiodactyla, Camelidae.